Molecule: ribosomal RNA, 618 nt
Filed under: Oenococcus oeni
Lineage: Bacteria; Bacillati; Bacillota; Bacilli; Lactobacillales; Lactobacillaceae
Description: bacterial SSU rRNA
Rfam family: Bacterial small subunit ribosomal RNA
Source: RNAcentral
UGCGGCGUGCCUAAUACAUGCAAGUCGUACGCUAGCCGCUGAAUUGAUCCUUCGGGUGAAGUGAGGCAAUGACUAGAGUGGCGAACUGGUGAGUAACACGUAAGAAACCUGCCCUUUAGUGGGGGAUAACAUUUGGAAACAGAUGCUAAUACCGCGUAACAACAAAUCACACAUGUGAUCUGUUUGAAAGGUCCUUUUGGAUCGCUAGAGGAUGGUCUUGCGGCGUAUUAGCUUGUUGGUAGGGUAGAAGCCUACCAAGGCAAUGAUGCGUAGCCGAGUUGAGAGACUGGCCGGCCACAUUGGGACUGAGACACUGCCCAAACUCCUACGGGAGGCUGCAGUAGGGAAUUUUCCGCAAUGCACGAAAGUGUGACGGAGCGACGCCGCGUGUGUGAUGAAGGCUUUCGGGUCGUAAAGCACUGUUGUAAGGGAAGAAUAACUGAAUUCAGAGAAAGUUUUCAGCUUGACGGUACCUUACCAGAAAGGGAUGGCUAAAUACGUGCCAGCAGCCGCGGUAAUACGUAUGUCCCGAGCGUUAUCCGGAUUUAUUGGGCGUAAAGCGAGCGCAGACGGUUUAUUAAGUCUGAUGUGAAAUCCCGAGGCCCAACCUCGGAACUG